Periophthalmus magnuspinnatus is the source of this 97-nucleotide ribosomal RNA. NCBI's taxonomy places the organism in Eukaryota, Metazoa, Chordata, Actinopteri, Gobiiformes, Gobiidae. The record is from Ensembl.
UGUGGCAUGCAUGCAGCUUUAUGAGCUCAAAAGCUAAGCAAGGUUGGGCCUGGUCUGUACUUUGAUGGUAGACCGCUAGGAAUACCAGGUGCCCAGU